GAUCAUGGCUCAGGAUGAACGCUGGCGGCGUGCUUAACACAUGCAAGUCGAACGGACUUAUGUUGAAACCUAGUGAUAUAUAAGUUAGUGGCGGACGGGUGAGUAACGCGUGGAUAACCUGCCAUAUACAGGGGGAUAACACUUAGAAAUAGGUGCUAAUACCGCAUAAGCGCACAGUACCGCAUGGUACGGUGUGAAAAGCUCCGGUGGCAUACGAUGGACCCGCGUCUGAUUAGAUAGUUGGUGAGGUAACGGCCCACCAAGUCAACGAUCAGUAGCCGGCCUGAGAGGGUGAACGGCCACAUUGGGACUGAGACACGGCCCAAACUCCUACGGGAGGCAGCAGUGGGGAAUAUUGGGCAAUGGGGGAAACCCUGACCCAGCAACGCCGCGUGAAGGAAGAAGGCCUUCGGGUUGUAAACUUCUUUUACCAGGGACGAAGAACGUGACGGUACCUGGAGAAAAAGCAACGGCUAACUACGUG
Molecule: ribosomal RNA, 484 nt
Filed under: uncultured bacterium
Lineage: Bacteria
Description: bacterial SSU rRNA
Rfam family: Bacterial small subunit ribosomal RNA
Source: RNAcentral